ACGUAGGGCGCAAGCGUUAUCCGGAAUUAUUGGGCGUAAAGAGCUCGUAGGCGGUUUGUCGCGUCUGCCGUGAAAGUCCGGGGCUCAACUCCGGAUCUGCGGUGGGUACGGGCAGACUAGAGUGAUGUAGGGGAGACUGGAAUUCCUGGUGUAGCGGUGAAAUGCGCAGAUAUUAGGAAGAACACCGGUGGCGAAGGCGGCCCACUGGUCCGGUACUGACGCUGAGGUGCGAAAGCGUGGGGAGCAAACAGGA
This 253-nucleotide ribosomal RNA is filed under the name uncultured prokaryote. RNAcentral describes it as "partial 16S ribosomal RNA". It matches the Rfam family "Bacterial small subunit ribosomal RNA", at positions 525 to 777 of the family's 1533-position model. The record is from RNAcentral.